ACAUUUGUGGUCCAAGGGUAAGACGGUUGCUUUAUAAGCAACAGAUCCAGGUUCAAGUCCUGGCAAAUGUA
This is a non-coding RNA of Elaeis guineensis (African oil palm), 71 nucleotides long. NCBI's taxonomy places the organism in Eukaryota, Viridiplantae, Streptophyta, Magnoliopsida, Arecales, Arecaceae. The record is from the annotation of a RefSeq genome assembly.